AGCUUAGUUGGUAAAGCACUCCUCUAGCAUACAAGAGUCGUGGGUUCGAAUCCCAC
This 56-nucleotide transfer RNA is filed under the name Aedes aegypti (yellow fever mosquito). It matches the Rfam family "tRNA", at positions 9 to 63 of the family's 71-position model. Rfam says of the family: Transfer RNA (tRNA) molecules are approximately 80 nucleotides in length. The record is from Rfam by way of RNAcentral. Lineage: Eukaryota; Metazoa; Arthropoda; Insecta; Diptera; Culicidae.